Molecule: transfer RNA, 69 nt
Filed under: Marmota monax (woodchuck)
Lineage: Eukaryota; Metazoa; Chordata; Mammalia; Rodentia; Sciuridae
Rfam family: tRNA
About the family: Transfer RNA (tRNA) molecules are approximately 80 nucleotides in length. Their secondary structure includes four short double-helical elements and three loops (D, anti-codon, and T loops).
Source: Rfam by way of RNAcentral
GGGGUUGUGGAUCAGUGGUAGAGUGCUUGCCUAACAUGCAUGAGGCACGGGGUUCGACCCCCAGCCCUA